ACUUCAUGUCCUGAAUUAUGUGAAGUGAUUAGUAUCAUUAAUGGUGUUUCGGAAGAAGCUUAGGUAGAGAAUGGAAUUGAUUGUUUGUUUAAAGCCAAACUUUUUCGAAGCGGACCCAAGGAUUGCAAACGUAUAAAAACCAGUUCAAGUUUGAUUCAAACAGAUGAGAAUUUAUAUUUACUUUAAAAUCUUAAAUUUCUAUUACUUUAAAUGAAUAAACUGCAUCGUAAUUUUAAAUAGUAGAUCCCAAAAAGGAGGCAAACUUGAAGGUGAGACAACUGAAAAAGGAGGCAAACUUGAAGAAAGAAUAUAUACUCAGUGGUCAACAGAACAAGAAAAACGAUUGGAAGAAACGUUUGGAAAAUUUACUAGAGAUAAAAACCUUGGAUGGCCCAGUAAUUAAAAUAGAAUCAUUGUCUUUUAAAAGUAUAUAAAAUGUAUAUUAGUCGCACAGUGGGACAGGUUGCGGAAAAAAGUAAAAAAAUUACAUUCUCAAAAAUUACAUUAUUAUUAACCAUUUUAUUGCUUAAACAUUUAGCUUUUAUAAAAUGUAUAUCUUUUUGUAUAAUUUUCAUGUCAUAUGCU
Non-coding RNA from Hydra vulgaris (swiftwater hydra), 585 nucleotides. The record is from RefSeq and is a predicted model, not a curated record. Lineage: Eukaryota; Metazoa; Cnidaria; Hydrozoa; Anthoathecata; Hydridae.